This 497-nucleotide ribosomal RNA is filed under the name uncultured bacterium. Its description in RNAcentral is "partial 16S ribosomal RNA". It matches the Rfam family "Bacterial small subunit ribosomal RNA", at positions 28 to 507 of the family's 1533-position model. The record is from RNAcentral.
GAUGAACGCUGGCGGCGUGCCUAAUACAUGCAAGUCGAGCGAACAGACGAGGAGCUUGCUCCUCUGACGUUAGCGGCGGACGGGUGAGUAACACGUGGAUAACCUACCUAUAAGACUGGGAUAACUUCGGGAAACCGGAGCUAAUACCGGAUAAUAUAUUGAACCGCAUGGUUCAAUAGUGAAAGACGGUUUUGCUGUCCCUUAUAGAUGGAUCCGCGCCGCAUUAUCUAGUUGGUAAGGUAACGGCUUACCAAGGCAACGAUGCGUAGCCGACCUGAGAGGGUGAUCGGCCACACUGGAACGGAGACACGGACAAGACUCCUACGGGAGGCAGCAGUAGGGAAUCUUCCGCAAUGGGCGAAAGCAUGACGGAGCAACGCCGCGUGAGAGAUGAAGGUAUUCGGAUCGUAAAACUCUGUUAUUAGGGAAGAACAAAUGUGUAAGUAACUAUGCACGGAUUGACGGUACCUAAUCAGAAAGCCACGGCUAACUACGUG